This 237-nucleotide ribosomal RNA is filed under the name uncultured bacterium. RNAcentral describes it as "partial 16S ribosomal RNA". It matches the Rfam family "Bacterial small subunit ribosomal RNA", at positions 99 to 334 of the family's 1533-position model. The record is from RNAcentral.
CGCACGGGUGAGUAACGCGUAAGUAAUCUACCCUGGUAUCUGGGAUAACCCACCGAAAGGUGUGCUAAUACCGGAUACGCUGAUUUAUCAGGAAAGGUGGCCUCUUCAUGAAAGCUACUGUACUAGGAGGAGCUUGCGUACCAUUAGCUAGUUGGUAGGGUAAUGGCCUACCAAGGCAACGAUGGUUAGCGGGUCUGAGAGGAUGAUCCGCCACACUGGAACUGGAACACGGACCAG